Bos taurus (domestic cattle) is the source of this 1645-nucleotide long non-coding RNA. The record is from Ensembl. Lineage: Eukaryota; Metazoa; Chordata; Mammalia; Artiodactyla; Bovidae.
UUACUGGGGGUGCCCUCCCUUCCUAGGGUAUCCUUUAAAUCUCAAGAUUCAUCGACACCCAGGAAAUACAAGAAGGGCUUCCCAUUUACCUUCCAUCACAAUCCAGUGAUUCUUAUGCCAGAAAUGAGAGCUCUGCCUCUAGGACAGAUGUCCUCCAACAUACUAUAGCCACCUCGAGGGCCACCACCUCCUGACACUUGAUCCACAAGCUCCGUGGAGACCCAUUAUGGCCCUGUAUUGAAAGCAAUCAAUCAAUCAGUCCUGAUCAACUGAAAGGCUGGGCUCCAGCUCCCCAUAAUGGCAGAAGAAGAUGGUGGUUCUCCAACCACGGGUUCUGAUGAAGAACACCCAGCUGCUAGCUUACCGUAACAAGCAGGGCAACCACAAGGCUUGGACUCAGCCUGUGACCAUGAAACUGGAGCUGUCUGGAUACACUGGAGCUCAAGUUCUGCCACAUUGCUAUUAAACACUAGCAUGAGACCAUUACAGAAAACUUUGGAAUGUUUGCCAAAUACCCAAGACAAAAGGAGAAGGAACUCAGCUCUGCCUGGUAAAGCUAAUGCCCAGCCCGCAAGUCCCAUUUUCCCUCCCUUGUUCUCCAGGUUUCAACUCACUCUUGGCACAAGGAGAAAGCAACUUCUAACAGGAUCAGAAAGACUUAAAGUGAGGUGUGGCUCCUCCUCCCCACUUACUGGUGAUGUCAAGACAGCUAACACUCCUCACAGCCCUCAAAAUAGAGGUCCAUCCAAAACCUCCCAGGAUGCUCUUGAAAACAAGGAAAAUGAGGGGGUCUGGAUGUUCCCAGAGACAGCGAGCUUUAGUGUCUCUAAUGAGAAAAAAAAAAAAAAGACAUCCUCAGCUGUGGGCCCUGAUGUUCCAUUUCUUUGACUCCCUGCAGCUGAAGGAGGCAUUUUCAUCACAGCGGCCUAGGUGCAUGUGUGCAUGGGUCUAUGUCCACAGCCUGCCUAUUUCUAACGCCCGCUCCCUGCCCCACAAAAUGAGGUUCAACAACUAUAAUCCAGCACUGCAAAGGAUGUGCAUUUAUAUUUUAAGUGCAUACAAAAUAAAGUAUUUCUCCUAGCCUUGCUGUGUCAAUAAGAGCAAAAACUAAACCACAUUACUCUCCAGAUUUUAGUUGUCACUACCAAUUUCCAGAUUCUGCUUAGGAGAGCAGUCUCAAAUAAGAAAACUGAAGAUAAGAAAGAAUCUGGGGAAGCUGUAAACAGCUGCCAACUUCCGUCCCCAACGUGGGUCCUCCCCUCCUCCCCCUCUGCUGCAGUCCUGGCUUUUGGAACCCGCUGCCCUCUGGGGACACAGUCCGCCCUCCACCAUCCUACCUACUAGCUCCGCAUCUCUCUCACGUCUUUUUAAAAAGAUAUUUUGGGAAGCAGCACACGCACAUCCAGAGACCAGUUACUCAAUCUCCCAGCAAGUAUGGAGAUGAUGGAAGUAUAGCCCUUUGGUUUCCUAGCAACAGCGUGGGGGGAGGCUGGAAAGCGAGCUGGUUGCCCAGCACCACCUUGCGUAGAAGGCAUUUGCGCAUUUGGCUUUUGUUGUCUUUGACGGCCAUUUCUAAAAACGGGCUCUGUAUUCUUGGGGGGAUUUUAGGCACUUAAGUUAUUCUUUUAAAAGCUCUCUGCUGACA